Molecule: ribosomal RNA, 429 nt
Filed under: Verrucomicrobiota bacterium
Lineage: Bacteria; Pseudomonadati; Verrucomicrobiota
Description: Verrucomicrobia bacterium partial 16S ribosomal RNA
Rfam family: Bacterial small subunit ribosomal RNA
Source: RNAcentral
UAGGGAAUCUUCCGCAAUGGACGAAAGUCUGACGGAGCAACGCCGCGUGAGUGAAGAAGGAUUUCGGUUCGUAAAACUCUGUUGUUAGGGAAGAAAAAAUGUAUAGUAACUAUAUACAAAAGAGACGGUACCUAACCAGAAAGCCACGGCUAACUACGUGCCAGCAGCCGCGGUAAUACGUAGGUGGCAAGCGUCGUCCGGAAUUAUUGGGCGUAAAGCGCGCGCAGGUGGUUUAGAAAGUCUGAUGUGAAAGCCCACGGCUCAACCGUGGAGGGUCAUUGGAAACUAAUAAACUUGAGUGCAGGAGAGAAAAGUGGAAUUCCUAGUGUAGCGGUGAAAUGCGUAGAGAUUAGGAGGAACACCGGUGGCGAAAGCGGCUUUUUGGCCUGCAACUGACACUGAGGCGCGAAAGCGUGGGGAGCAAACAGG